This 501-nucleotide ribosomal RNA is filed under the name uncultured Glomeromycotina. RNAcentral's name for it is "partial small subunit ribosomal RNA". It matches the Rfam family "Eukaryotic small subunit ribosomal RNA", at positions 591 to 1092 of the family's 1831-position model. Lineage: Eukaryota; Fungi; Glomeromycota. The record is from RNAcentral.
CCAAUAGCGUAUAUUAAAGUUGUUGCAGUUAAAAAGCUCGUAGUUGAACCUUAGGCCCGUGCGGGCGGUCCGUCCUCUGGGCGAGCACUGCGUCGUCGCGGGUCUCACCUUCUGGCGAGCGCGGAUGCCAUUCAUUUGGUGUCCGCGGGAACCAGGACCUUUACCUUGAAAAAAUUAGAGUGCUCAAAGCGGGCUCUUACGUUUGAAUAAACUAGCAUGGAAUAAUGAAAUAGGACGACGGUUCUAUUUUGUUGGUUUCCGGGAUUGUCGUAAUGAUUAAUAGGGAUAGUUGGGGGCAUUCGUAUUCAAUUGUCAGAGGUGAAAUUCUUGGAUUUAUUGAAGACGGACUACUGCGAAAGCAUUUGCCAAGGAUGUUUUCAUUAAUCAAGAACGAAAGUUGGGGGAUCGAAGACGAUCAGAUACCGUCGUAGUCUCAACCAUAAACUAUGCCGACUGGGAAUCGGGCGAUGUUAUUUUUCGUGACUCGCUCGGCGCCCCGAG